Molecule: long non-coding RNA, 909 nt
Organism: Trachemys scripta elegans
Lineage: Eukaryota; Metazoa; Chordata; Testudines; Emydidae
Exons: 2
Source: RefSeq, a predicted model, not a curated record
CCACACAAACACCUGCUGGUGAGGGCACAGCAACAGGCUUCCUCCCUACAGAUGCUACACACCAAAAGCAUAAAUGUCAGAUGAUGCCAAUGUGUUUUCUCUACUUGCAUACCAGCUGACACAAAUCCUCCAGUUUUACAGUGACCUGUGCCAGGCUGAACAGAAUGCUACAGUUUAAAGCUUCCACCAUCCUCAAAUUUGCCCUGUUGCUGUAUUUAUCUGGAUGACUAACUAAAACCUAAGAGACUCAAAAUCUGCCUUCUGUGCAUUCACGAAUAAGCUGGGCACUCCCAGGAACCUCUCAUUUUUCAGAGCUGAUGUCAAUAAUUGCAUGCUUGUCUGUAAUACCUAUUGGAACGAUUGCUGAAGACAGAAGCCUGUAUUUCAAAAGUGGCUUGGCACAAGCGAGGAACCACAACGUACAUUUCUGAAGGGCUAAAUAGAAUUCUGGACCUAUAUCGUUCCACCAUAUUCUGAGCCUCACUCUCGGUUCACUGCAUGCCACUGCCUUGUGACCAAAAUUUCUAACCUAUUACUUAUUGCUAGAUGGUGUAGUUUGAAAACCAAAACAUUAAAUUUAAACAGAUGUAAAUGCAUGCAUUUCAUUCAAGUUUUUCCCUGAAAUGAAAACAUUUUGAUGAGGAUCUAGAUGUUACGCUUUUCCUUUGUUAGGAUCUCCAGGAUGCCCUCCCAUUCCCUUCCUACACUCUAGGCUCUGCUUGGGGAAGUGGAUGAGUCCCCACAUACUUGGCAUAACUAUUCUGAGAAUGCAACGUGUAUGGCACAAGUCACUAAUAUCUCUUUAAGAUCUGAGCAUGCAAUCUUCACAACACUCCUCACCACUGUAAACUUGGGCAGCAAGAAUUUAGAGGUCUAAUCGUUCUGUGAAAAUAAACUGUGAAGUCUCUA